CAGUCGCCACGGUAAUACGUAGGGAGCAAGCGUUGUUCGGAUUUACUGGGCGUAAAGGGCGCGUAGGCGGCGCGGUAAGUCACUUGUGAAAUCUCUGAGCUUAACUCAGAACGGCCAAGUGAUACUGCUGUGCUAGAGUGCGGAAGAGGCAACCGGAAUUCUUGGUGUAGCGGUGAAAUGCGUAGAUAUCAAGAGGAACACCUGAGGCGAAGGCGGGUUGCUGGGCCGACACUGACGCUGAUGCGCGAAAGCCAGGGGAGCAAACGGGAUUAGAUACCCCAGUAGUCCCUGUCUCUUAUAC
RNAcentral lists this ribosomal RNA (301 nucleotides) under uncultured bacterium. Its description in RNAcentral is "partial 16S ribosomal RNA". It matches the Rfam family "Bacterial small subunit ribosomal RNA", at positions 509 to 807 of the family's 1533-position model. The record is from RNAcentral.